Molecule: non-coding RNA, 118 nt
Organism: Dorea sp. 5-2
Lineage: Bacteria; Bacillati; Bacillota; Clostridia; Lachnospirales; Lachnospiraceae
Source: Rfam
CCUGGUGGCGAUACGUCCGGGGGAAACACCCGUUCCCAUCCCGAACACGAUGGUUAAGUCCCGGACGGCCGAUGGUACUGCACUGGAGACGGUGUGGGAGAGCAGGCGGCUGCCAGGA